UACGGAGGGUGCAAGCGUUAUCCGGAUUCACUGGGUUUAAAGGGUGCGUAGGUGGGCAGGUAAGUCAGUGGUGAAAUCUCCGGGCUUAACCCGGAAACUGUCAUUGAUACUAUCUGUCUUGAAUACCGUGGAGGUGAGCGGAAUAUGUCAUGUAGCGGUGAAAUGCUUAGAUAUGACAUAGAACACCAAUUGCGAAGGCAGCUCACUACACGAAUAUUGACACUGAGGCACGAAAGCGUGGGGAUCAAACAGG
RNAcentral lists this ribosomal RNA (253 nucleotides) under uncultured bacterium. Its description in RNAcentral is "partial 16S ribosomal RNA". It matches the Rfam family "Bacterial small subunit ribosomal RNA", at positions 524 to 776 of the family's 1533-position model. The record is from RNAcentral.